This is a long non-coding RNA of Sardina pilchardus (European sardine), 621 nucleotides long. RefSeq lists it as uncharacterized. The transcript is spliced from 4 exons. NCBI's taxonomy places the organism in Eukaryota, Metazoa, Chordata, Actinopteri, Clupeiformes, Clupeidae. The record is from RefSeq and is a predicted model, not a curated record.
GACCUAAAAGAAAUGGACAAACAGACUCCGUCGUUCUCAAUGAGAGGGGGCUGAAACAAAAAAUCGUUUCCUGUUCAUCGUACUGCGCAGACUCAAACUCAUUUUGUGACGUUGGCCGCCCUGAACAUUGCUGUAACUCGUCUGAUAGAUGUUCAUACAGAUAUUUUGCCAUUCGACCUCGACUGACUGCGAUUUCUUGGAUCUUAGUUUACCAGUCAGACCACUACACCUUUGCCAGCACCACCACCCAGCAAGCUUCAUCAACUCCAGCCAUGCCGAGUUUACCAGUCAGACCUACACCUCCGUCAAAUUCGCUCACAACGCUGCCAAUAACACCCCAGCAAGAUUUUUACAGACUUGUUCUGCAGCACUUCCGAACAAUUGAGGAGGAGCUGGGGUAAAGCAGCAGGUGGCUGUGAACACAUCUAUGCUGCAGAAGCUAGGUGGUGGUGGUGUGGCGGAUCUUGGCCUCGUGGAGGACAACAACAGGCCAUUGAGUAAUGUUGAGGACCUGGACGAGUUGGAGAGGCGGCUUGCAUCCGAUGCGGACCUGAAAAAUCAACUGGUAUGUCUGUUUUUUAAGUGUUUUGCCAUGUGAUUAUUGUAGGCAUAAAAGUCCUA